Non-coding RNA from Microthyrium microscopicum, 95 nucleotides. The record is from the annotation of a GenBank genome assembly. Lineage: Eukaryota; Fungi; Ascomycota; Dothideomycetes; Microthyriales; Microthyriaceae.
CCUUUGAGUCUAGUGGUAUGAUUCAUGCUUCGGGUUAUUGCCCCCUCUGUUGAACAGAAUUGUGUGAGGUCCCGGGUUCAAAUCCCGGAAAAGCC